Molecule: ribosomal RNA, 199 nt
Filed under: uncultured bacterium
Lineage: Bacteria
Description: partial 16S ribosomal RNA
Rfam family: Bacterial small subunit ribosomal RNA
Source: RNAcentral
ACUCCUACGGGAGGCAGCAGUGAGGAAUUUUGCGCAAUGGGCGAAAGCCUGACGCAGCGACGCCGCGUGGAGGACGAAGGCCUUCGGGUCGUAAACUCCUGUCAAGCGGGACGAAUCCCUGGCGAAUGAAUAAGUCGCCAGGUUGACGGUACCGCUGGAGGAAGCCCCGGCUAACUCCGUGCCAGCAGCCGCGGUAAUA